CAGCAAUGAUUUAUCUAUACUCAGAGGUGACUCAGAACCGCAUAAAUAUGUCCCACUGAACCCAAAGCAAAUUGAUCCCGAACUCAACUUCCCCAUAGCCAGAUCCCAGAAAUACCCAUGGCGCCUCCAACCACCUCACAUAAACGGAAACUGGGACACAAGGGAAGUUGGAGUAGAAAGAACUAGCAAUCUUAACUGAUUGUGGAUAAAACAUCUUACCUUCGCAAAUUUCCCAAGAACAUGAAGAGAUGAACACACUGCAGAGGCCCCUCCCUGGGCCUGAGGAGAGGCCCUGAUGCUCAGGAAGCUUUAGCUUCAUGCUGAGUCUGCCUCUGCGUUGAGCUGAGAUUUGAAGAGAAGAUCAGAUUCUUGUGCUUAAAACCUCCCAGGCUGGUCAGGGCCAGGAGACUCCAGGAGUCAUCACAAGAGAUUAAUGAGGUUGAGAGCCAGGGGCAGAGCAGGUUGUGAAGAUCGAAUAAUAACAUACUCGCUCACAGGCAGUGCACCUGACGAUCAGCGUCUACUGGCUGGGAAGACAAGAUUUGGACAUGAAAAGAUGAGAGAUCUACACUGUGACCUGAAUUGGGCAAUGCUCAGUUACACAGUAGAGGAGGUGGGAGGUGCCCAGUCACAAGGAUGAUCCAAGUCAUUCAUGGAAACACCUUCCCCUUUGCCAAUUGGGCCCCUCCCAGCUCCUCCCAGCCAUUCGGAGCAGUAAGUGAAGAUGUCAGCACCUUGGACAGAGCCCAACGCAUUACAGUACUCGAAGCCAGCGGAAGCCAAGCUCUCCAACUCCUUUAGCCUCGGGGUGAUGGAUUUCCUCGUUUCUCAAUUUGAUUAAAGCC
This 845-nucleotide long non-coding RNA is filed under the name Equus asinus (donkey). RNAcentral describes it as "lncRNA (ENSEASG00005036667.1)". The record is from RNAcentral. Lineage: Eukaryota; Metazoa; Chordata; Mammalia; Perissodactyla; Equidae.